GAUGAAGAACGCAGCGAAAUGCGAUAAGUAAUGUGAAUUGCAGAAUUCAGUGAAUCAUCGAAUCUUUGAACGCACUUUGCGCCCGCCAGUAUUCUGGCGGGCAUGCCUGUCUGAGCGUCAUUUCAACCCUCAUGCCCCUAGGGCGUGGUGUUGGGGAUCGGCCAAAGCCCGCGAGGGACGGCCGGCCCCUAAAUCUAGUGGCGGACCCGUCGUGGCCUCCUCUGCGAAGUAGUGAUAUUCCGCAUCGGAGAGCGAUGAGCCCCUGCCGUUAAACCCCCAACUUUCCAAGGUUGACCUCAGAUCAGGUAGGAAUACCCGCUGAACUUAAGCAUAUCAAUAAGCGGAGGA
This 348-nucleotide unclassified non-coding RNA is filed under the name soil metagenome. Its description in RNAcentral is "partial contains 5.8S ribosomal RNA, internal transcribed spacer 2, and large subunit ribosomal RNA". The stretch from base 1 to 120 matches the Rfam family "5.8S ribosomal RNA", at positions 35 to 154 of the family's 154-position model. The record is from RNAcentral.